RNAcentral lists this ribosomal RNA (253 nucleotides) under uncultured bacterium. RNAcentral describes it as "partial 16S ribosomal RNA". It matches the Rfam family "Bacterial small subunit ribosomal RNA", at positions 524 to 776 of the family's 1533-position model. The record is from RNAcentral.
UACGAAGGGGGCUAGCGUUGUUCGGAAUUACUGGGCGUAAAGCGCACGUAGGCGGGUUGUUAAGUCAGGGGUGAAAUCCUGGAGCUCAACUCCAGAACUGCCUUCGAUACUGGCGACCUUGAGUCCGGGAGAGGUGAGUGGAACUCCGAGUGUAGAGGUGAAAUUCGUAGAUAUUCGGAAGAACACCAGUGGCGAAGGCGGCUCACUGGCCCGGUACUGACGCUGAGGUGCGAAAGCGUGGGGAGCAAACAGG